This 253-nucleotide ribosomal RNA is filed under the name uncultured bacterium. RNAcentral's name for it is "partial 16S ribosomal RNA". It matches the Rfam family "Bacterial small subunit ribosomal RNA", at positions 524 to 776 of the family's 1533-position model. The record is from RNAcentral.
UACGUAGGGUGCAGGCGUUAUUCGGAAUUACUGGGCGUAAAGCGUGCGCAGGCGGUUUGUUAAGACAGAUGUGAAAUCCCCGGGCUUAACCUGGGAACUGCGUUUGUAACUGGCAAGCUAGAGUGUGGCAGAGGGGAGUGGAAUUCCAAGUGUAGCAGUGAAAUGCGUAGAUAUUUGGAGGAACACCAAUGGCGAAGGCAGCCCCCUGGGUUAACACUGACGCUCAUGCACGAAAGCGUGGGGAGCAAACAGG